CGGCAACAGCUCAAAUUUGAAAGCUGGCCCUUUUAGGGUCCGCAUUGUAAUUUGUAGAGGAUGAUUCGGCGAGGGCUCCUGCCUAAGUCCCCUGGAACGGGGCGUCAUAGAGGGUGAGAAUCCCGUAUGCGGUAGGUUGCCUUAGCCAUGUGAAUCUCCUUCGAC
This 165-nucleotide ribosomal RNA is filed under the name Lasiodiplodia parva. Its description in RNAcentral is "partial large subunit ribosomal RNA". It matches the Rfam family "Eukaryotic large subunit ribosomal RNA", at positions 99 to 261 of the family's 3401-position model. Lineage: Eukaryota; Fungi; Ascomycota; Dothideomycetes; Botryosphaeriales; Botryosphaeriaceae. The record is from RNAcentral.